This 667-nucleotide long non-coding RNA is filed under the name Homo sapiens (human). Its description in RNAcentral is "HSALNT0260503". Lineage: Eukaryota; Metazoa; Chordata; Mammalia; Primates; Hominidae. The record is from RNAcentral.
CUGUGGACAAAUUGUGAAGGAGUUUACCAGAGCCACAGAAGAUAUUCAAGAAAAUGUUAACUGACAGCAUAAUGAAACAUUUUUAAAAAUCCAGAAUGUGGGACAUCUUACUUGACAACUGACCUGAUGUCUUGUAUAUGCCAAAAGCAUGAAUUUAAAGUGGAUCAAAGGGGGGAUACUCUUCCAGAUUGAAAGAGACUCAAGAGACAAAACGAUCACAUGCAAAGGAUGGACAUUUUUGAGAUGACUGGAAAUUCUGAAGUUUUGUUUUUUAGGGCAUAAAAUAAUAUUAAGGAAUUAUUAACUUUCUUCAGUGUGACAGUUGUAUUUUUGUUAUAUUAGAAAAUGUAAUUCUUUGAAGUAUGCAUGGGAGUGUUUAGGGGGAAAUAAUACAGUGUCAUGAUUUUGUUUUAAAAUUACAAUAACAAAAAGGGCAGAAAGACAAUAUUGAUAGAUAAAGGAAGUGUGGCACAUGUUGAAAAUUGCUGAAUCUGGGUGAUGAGGCAAUGGAAUACUUCACUCUUUAUUUCUAUCAAUGUUUGAAAUUUUUCAUAACAUAAAGGUAUGAAAAUGUUUAGUUCUUGUCCAGAAGAAAAGUGGUAAGCAGAACCUUCGUGUAUUUUUAUUUGUUGGGUUUUCUGGAUUUGCGUCCAACUCUCAAUCGACU